Long non-coding RNA from Oncorhynchus tshawytscha (Chinook salmon), 4826 nucleotides. The record is from Ensembl. NCBI's taxonomy places the organism in Eukaryota, Metazoa, Chordata, Actinopteri, Salmoniformes, Salmonidae.
AGGGAGGGAGGGAAAGAGAGAGAGUGGGAGAGAAAGAGAGAGAGAGAAGAAGAGAGAGCGAGGUAGCCUGUGUUUUAAUUACUCACAGCUGAACAACCCCCCCACCCUUCCUCUCCUCUCCUCCUCUACAGCCUAUAAUCCACUGCUGGGUUACAGACACAGUUUCCUACAGCGUCUUCCUGGGUGGCCCACUGCUCACUAACCCAGCCAGUCAGCCAGUCAGUCAGCCUGCCAAUCUGCCAGUCAGUCACCCAGUCAGUCAGCCAAUCAGUCACUCAGCCUGCCAAUCUGCCACUAACCCAGUCAGCCAGCCAGUCAGUCACCCAGUCAGUCAGCCAGUCACUCAGCCUGCCAAUCUGCCACUAACCCAGUCAGCCAGCCAGUCAGUCACCCAUUCAGCCAGUCACUCAGCCUGCCAAUCUGCCAGCAAUCCAGCCAGUCAGCCAGCCAGUCAGUCACCCAGUCAGCCAGCCAGUCUGCCAGCCAGCCAGCCAGUCUGCCAGCCAGCCAGCCAGCCAGCCAGCCAAGCAAUCUGCCAGUCACCCAGCCAGCCAGCCAGUCUGCCAGCCAGCCAGCCAGUCACUCAGCUAACCAGUCACCCAGCCAAUCAGCCAGCCAGUCAGUUUGCCAGACACACAGCAAGCCAGUCUGCCAGCCAGUCACCCAGCCAAUCUGCCAGCCAGUCAGCCAGCCAGUCAGUUUGCCAGUCAGCCAGCCAGUCAGCCAGUCUGCCAACUUUAAAUUGUAUUUCCAGGCACUAGCAUUUCAUCCCAUCCUGUGUUACAAACGUAGUUUCCUGCACUGUCUUCCCACUGCAGUCAAUCAGUCACUCAGCCAGUCAUCCAGUCAGCCAGUCACUCAGCCAGCCAGUCAGCCAGCCAUACAGCCAGUCACUCAGCCAGCCAGUCAUCCAGUCACUCAGCCAGCCAGUCACCCAGCCAGUCACCCAUCCAGUCAGCCAGUCACCCAGCCAGCCAGCCAGUCACCCAGUCAGUCAUUCAGUCACCCAGCCAGCCAGCCAGCCAGUCACCCAGUCAGCCAGUCACCUAGCCAGUCAGCCAGUCACCCAGACAGUCAACCAAUCACACAUCCAGCCAGUCAGUCUGCCAGUCUGCCAGUCACCCAGCCAGUCAGUCAGCCAGUCAGUCAGCCAGUCAACCAGCCAGGAAGCCAGAAAGUCACCCAGCCAGGAAGCCAGAGAGUCACCCAGGCAGUCACCGAUCCAGCCAGUCUGCCAGUCUGCCAGUCUGCCAGUCACCCAAUCAGCCAGUCAGCCAGUCAACCAGCCAGGAAGCCAGAGAGUCAACAAGGCAGUCACCCAGUCACCCAACCAGUCAGCCAGUCAACCAGCCAGUCAGUCACUCAGUCAGCCAGUCACCUAGCCAGUCAGCCAGUCACCCAGAGGGUCAACCAAUCAUACAUCCAGCCAGUCAGUCUGCCAGUCUGCCAGUCACCCAGUCAGCCAGUCAGCCAGUCAACCAGCCAGGAAGCCAGAGAGUCACCCAGUCAGCCAGUCAGCCCGUCAGCCAACCAGUCAGCCAGUCAGCCAGUCAACCAGCCAGGAAGCCAGAGAUUCACCCAGUCAGCCAGUCAACCAGCCAGGAAGCCAGAGAGUCACCCAGGCAGUCACCCAGUCAGCCAACCAGUCAGCCAGUCAACCAGCCGAUAAAGAGCAGCAUUAAGAUGGAUAGUACCCAGCUGUUUUCCUUGACCACCAACUUCAAACACAGAGCAGCUUUUUCCCUCCAAAUAAAAGGUCGGUCAAGCAGAUCUCCCCCCCGGUCUGUCGGCAGGAACCCUUUAAGUAUUUGGUCAAAUGUUUACACUUGAUUUAAUGGGGGACUCUUAAUCAAAAUACCUCAACCCCCCUUACCCCCAGACAUGCCACAAGUCAAAUGUGUGUGGGUGGCACAUGCUAUUCUGUUGGCAAGGCGAUGUGUUUGAUGUUUGUAGAAACAAGCUUUUUGGGAUUUCUGUACUUUUUUUCUGCUGUCAGCUUUGGUCACUGUGAAUAAAAGCGGCGGUUAUACCUGACCUCUCCGGUGACCGAGGGUUAGAGAGAGGAGAGGUUGAGACUGAGGGUUAUAGAGAGGAGAGAGGUUGAGACUGAGGGUUAUAGAGAGUGGGGAGAGGUUGAGACUGAGGGUUAGAGAGGAGAGAGGUUGAGACUGAGGGUUAGAGAGAGGAGAGAGGUUGAGACUGAGGGUUAGAGAGAGGAGAGAGGUUGAGACUGAGGGUUAGAGAGAGGAGAGAGGUUGAGACUGAGGGUUAGAAAGAGGAGAGAGGUUGAGACUGAGGGUUAGAAAGAGGAGAGAGGUUGAGACUGAGGGUUAUAGAGAGGAGAGAGGUUGAGACUGAGGGUUAUAGAGAGGAGAGAGGUUGAGACUGAGGGUUAGAGAGAGGAGAGAGGUUGAGACUGAGGGUUAUAGAGAGGAGAGAGGUUGAGACUGAGGGUUAGAGAGAGGAGAGAGGUUGAGACUGAGGGUUAUAGAGGGGAGAGAGGUUGAGACUGAGGGUUAUAGAGAGGAGAGAGGUUGAGACUGAGGGUUAUAGAGAGGAGAGAGGUUGAGACUGAGGGUUAUAGAGAGGAGAGAGGUUGAGACUGAGGGUUAGAGAGAGGAGAGAGGUUGUGACUGAGGGUUAGAGAGAGGAGAGAGGUUGAGACUGAGGGUUAGAGAGAGGAGAGAGGUUGAGACUGAGGGUUAUAGAGAGGAGAGAGGUUGAGACUGAGGGUUAGAGAGGAGAGAGGUUGAGACUGAGGGUUAGAGAGGAGAGAGGUUGAGACUGAGGGUUAGAAAGAGGAGAGAGGUUGAGACUGAGGGUUAUAGAGAGGAGAGAGGUUGAGACUGAGGGUUAGAGAGAGGAGAGAGGUUGAGACUGAGGGUUAGAGAGAGGAGAGAGGUGGAGACUGAGGGUUAGAGAGAGGAGAGAGGUUGAGACUGAGGGUUAUAGAGGGGAGAGAGGUUGAGACUGAGGGUUAUAGAGAGGAGAGAGGGCAGAUCUCAAGAGAAGAGGCUGGUGGUCGCUGUGGGUCUGUGGGGUAGAGAGAGGAGAGGAGAGGCUGGUGGUCGCUGUGGGUCUGUGGGGUAGAGAGAGGAGAGGAGAGGCUGGUGGUCGCUAUGGGUCUGUGGGGUAGAGAGAGGAGAGAAGAGGCUGGUGGUCGCUGUGGGUCUGUGGGUCUGUGUGGUAGAGAGAGAGAGGAGAGGAGAGGCUGGUGGUCAUUAUGGGUCUGUGGGGUAGAGAGAGGAGAGGAGAGGCUGGUGGUCGCUAUGGGUCUGUGGGGUAGAGAGAGGAGAGGAGAGGCUGGUGGUCUAUAUGGGUCUGUGGGUCUGUGGGGUAGAGAGAGGAGAGGAGAGGCUGGUGGUCGCUAUGGGUCUGUGGGGUAGAUAGAGGAGAGGAGGGGCUGAUGGUCGCUAUGGGUCUGUGGGGUAGAGAGAGGAGAGAAGAGGCUGGUGGGUCUAUGGGUCUAUGGGUCUGUGGGUCUAUGGGUCUAUGGGUCUGUGGGUCUAUGGGUCUGUUCACCAGACUAGGUUCAAAAACGAUUUGAAAUAUUACAAAUACUUUUAGCUGUCCUUGAUUGAGUAGCUCAUUGGACCAAUAGGAUAGUCCCAAAAAUACAUACCACACCCACAUGGCACUCCAGGCAGGCUGUAGCAAACACUCAAAGUAUUUGAAAUAUUUCAGUGAGGUAGCUAGCCCACCUUCCAUAGCGUACAUCCCCUCAGGGUCAGGUCUGGUCUGUGAGGUAGCUAGCCCACCUUCCAUACCAUACAUCCCCUCAGGGUCAGGUCUGGUCAGUGAGGUAGCUAGCCCACCUUCCAUACCAUACAUCCCCUCAGGGUCAGGUCUGGUCAGUGAGGUAGCUAGCCCACCUUCCAUACCAUACAUCCCCUCAGGGUCAGGUCUGGUCAGUGAGGUAGCUAGCCCACCUUCCAUAGCGUACAUCCCCUCAGGGUCAGGUCUGGUCUGUGAGGUAGCUAGCCCACCUUCCAUACCAUACAUCCCCUCAGGGUCAGGGGUCAGGUCUGGUCUGUGAGGUAGCUAGCCCACCUUCCAUCCCAUACAUCCCCUCAGGGUCCGGAUAACCAGAGGUGGAUGAGAGGAAGGGAAAGGGGAAAAUAAACUUGCUGACACAACUUUCUAGAUAUAGUAUAUAUAGUGAGCUCUAUAUGUUAUGUGGGUGGACAACAACACUCUGUGAGAGAGAGGGAGGAGUUAUAUGUUCAAAUGCUUCUCCUUUUUCCUGUGAGUUGUUGUAGAUUAUUGGCACUUUCUAAAGUUUAUCUUCAAUGACUAAUGUCAAUAUUGGGGUUUUAUCUACAGAUAGGCCCACGUACAGUGUUUCCCGAUUGAACUCACAGACUGUAGUGAAGACAGAAAGUACCCCAGCUCUUUAAGAAUAAUGUAGGGCCAACAUGGUUCAGAUUGUGUGUCACAGAACCGCAGGAUUUUUAGCAGGAGCACCACAGGUUAAUUGAACAGCUCGUGACAGGAAGAGAGAACACAGUGGGAGGUUGACUGGUUUCCAGGCCUCAUGAAUGGGCUCUUUGAGAACCUAGGCCAGCAGGUGUGGUACACUACAUGAAUGAUAGUCAUGCUCAGGAGGGAACACUAUAGCAAAAUGUUUUUCAAAUUGGCAAGCUUACAUAUCUGUUCUUAUUAGAUAAGUAUUUGGCCCAGGUCUGCAGCUUCUGAUCAAUAUCCUACAUCUUCUGAUCAAUAUACUGCAGCUUCUGAUCAAUAUCCUACAGCUUCUGAUCAAUAUACUGCAGCUUCUGAUCAAUAUCCUACAGCUUCUGAUCAAUAUACUGCAGCUUCUGAUCAAU